AGGACGAACGCUGGCGGCGUGCUUAACACAUGCAAGUCACGGGGGCUUCGUAAGGAGCAACCGGCGAACGGGUGCGUAACACGUGAGCGACCUGCCAUACCUGUGGGGGAUAGCCGGCCCAACGGCCGGGUAAUACCGCAUACGAUCUUUCGGGCGCCUGCUUGGGAGACGAAAGCUGGGGGGUAACCUUUGGCGCAGGAUGAGGGGCUCGCGGCCUAUCAGCUAGUUGGCGGGGUAACGGCCCACCAAGGCGACGACGGGUAGCUGGUCUGAGAGGAUGGCCAGCCACAUUGGGACUGAGAGACGGCCCAGACUCCUACGGGAGGCAGCAGUGGGGAAUCUUGCGCAAUGGGCGAAAGCCUGACGCAGCCAUGCCGCGUGGAUGAUGAAGGUCUUAGGAUUGUAAAUCCUUUCAGCGGGGACGAUAAUGACGGUACCCGCAGAAGAAGCCCGGCUAACUUCGUGCCAGCAGCCGCGGUAA
RNAcentral lists this ribosomal RNA (481 nucleotides) under uncultured bacterium. RNAcentral describes it as "SSU rRNA". It matches the Rfam family "Bacterial small subunit ribosomal RNA", at positions 26 to 523 of the family's 1533-position model. The record is from RNAcentral.